This 253-nucleotide ribosomal RNA is filed under the name uncultured bacterium. RNAcentral's name for it is "partial 16S ribosomal RNA". It matches the Rfam family "Bacterial small subunit ribosomal RNA", at positions 524 to 776 of the family's 1533-position model. The record is from RNAcentral.
UACGUAGGGUGCGAGCGUUGUCCGGAAUUAUUGGGCGUAAAGGGCUCGUAGGCGGUUUGUCGCGUCGGGAGUGAAAACCAGGUGCUUAACACCUGGCUUGCUUUCGAUACGGGCAGACUAGAGGUACUCAGGGGAGAACGGAAUUCCUGGUGUAGCGGUGAAAUGCGCAGAUAUCAGGAGGAACACCGGUGGCGAAGGCGGUUCUCUGGGAAUGACCUGACGCUGAGGAGCGAAAGUGUGGGGAGCGAACAGG